RNAcentral lists this long non-coding RNA (1520 nucleotides) under Gallus gallus (chicken). RNAcentral describes it as "lncRNA (ENSGALG00010009310.1)". Lineage: Eukaryota; Metazoa; Chordata; Aves; Galliformes; Phasianidae. The record is from RNAcentral.
GGAAGACAAGCAUGUAUUUUUGCAAUCAUUUUCUUACUUCUUCUUUUUCUUAUUAUCAUAUAUUUUUUUUUCUUUUCUUUUUGUAUUUCCACACUUUGUUGGUCAUUCCAAACUCUGGGAAGUUUAAAGUCUAACAGUUUUCGUAUUGUUCUUUCACCUGGUGCUGUGAAUACUCACAAGCCUCAGUCUCUUGAGGAUUUCACACUGAGAUUGGAUUGUUUUUCAACAAAAUUUUCAUGCUGCUUCCAUGUCACCUUGGCUUACUGUCCCCCCGGGAAUCCACAUGGAAGAGAGAUUUCCCUAACGUCUUGGCAGUAGGGAAAUUUUUAUUUGAUGUUCAUGACUUACUAGAUACGAGAAAAUUCACUCUGAAAUCAAUGAGGGGCAUGUGUUCUGUGACCUGUUGGAGUGUGGAUGGGGGCUGAUUACCGUCCUGUGAUUAGGGCAUUUGUGAAGACCUCUGUGUGAAUCCGAUGGUGGCCAAUAAGGAUUGCAGCACAUGAUAUUGCCAAGGUUCAUAGUCUAUCUUGUUAGCUCAAUAAGUACUGUUAGAAAAAGGGAAAAAAAGAAAAGAAAAAGCAAACAAACAAACAAAAAAACACCACAAAAGUAUAGCUUUAAAAUAUGUGUAUACUCUUUAAGUUGAAUACAGAAGCAGUUAAAUUCAAUAUAGGUGAUAACUAGUUAAUUAAUUAUUAGCUACAGUGAUUAUAGUCCAUUUAAUACUUGGAAGAAAAUCCUGUCUGUGGAAAGCAAUGAGAGGAGGAAGAAAAAGGAUAAUACAGACUAUCAAUAAAAGUCAAUAAAAUCAGGAACUGUGUGGGAAAAGAGCAAAGCUUAUCAUGAUUUGAACAAUGAAAACCUACAGAGAAAGCUGCAAGAAAAAUCAGUUUAAGUCCCAGAAGUCAGAACAGACUACAACACAUUGAAAAAGAAAGAAAAAAAGAAGAGGAUAAAUAGAUCCUAGCUUUGUGUACACCAUCUGCUUAAAAUUCCUGCUUUCCAGAUGUUAUUCUCUAAAGUCCAGCCAGCCCUUGUCUCUCUCUGUCAUGCUACACAGAAGAAGAAAGGCAGCACAAGAAAGGAAGAAAUGUGGUACACAAAUAUGACACAUUUAAAAAUGCACAUUCAUCCUCCUGUGUUUGUUCAAAAAUAAAUCCAUGAAAAUGUUCACAUUUCCUUUAUCUGCCUGAUAAAAUAGUGAUAUUUUAAUCAACCUCAAAAUACACUGUUAAGAAAGUACAGUUUUAUAUUUCUUUUCAAGCUCACUCCUCUUACAGAACAACUUGAAUCAAACCACUUGUCUUGAUGCCAGGUAGUUAAAGCUGUAAUAUUGGCCGAGAAAAAGAGUGUCUAAGGACAAGAUUUGAGAACAUAGCAGAUCUUGUGAGAUCCUGGACAAAUGUGUUAUCCACAUCUAACUCCAUCUUUCCAUUUGUAAUAUCAAGAUAAAGUACCACUGCCUGCACUGUUCUCUGCUUUGUAGAUUGAUUUUUAGAAGAAAAAAAUAAAGGUGACUC